Molecule: long non-coding RNA, 389 nt
Filed under: Pogona vitticeps (central bearded dragon)
Lineage: Eukaryota; Metazoa; Chordata; Lepidosauria; Squamata; Agamidae
Description: lncRNA (ENSPVIG00000010714.1)
Source: RNAcentral
CAUUUUGAUGUUUCAUUUAUUGCUAUUUAUUGCAUUCAGCAUGUCUCAAUCAACCAGAGAUUUUCCAGGAAAAAGCCAACAACAAUAGGAGAAUGGUAUGUCUUGACAGUUGGGCUGUUCAGUUUUGCUGCUUGUUACCUGCAUGGACGUCUGCCCAGUGAGCAAAGCGUGAACCUUCUGAUGUGGCUUUUGCAGCUUCUAGGCUUGGUCUUUGGUAUUUAUUUUGGCGUUGCUAUCCCCCAGGAGGCCUAUGUGGUAAUAGCUACUAUGCUCUGUUCAAAAAUCCUGCAGUAUCUUCUUCAAAUAGUCUGCUACCGUAUUUUUUGCUCCAUAAGAGACAGCUCUGCAUAAGAGGCACCUAAUGUUUAGGGGAGCAAAACAGGAAAAAA